CCCUACGGGGGCAGCAGUGAGGAAUAUUGGUCAAUAGGCUUACGCCUGAACCAGCCAAGUCGCGUGAGGGAAGACUGCCCUAUGGGUUGUAAACCUCUUUUGUCAGGGAGCAACGCCGGCUACGUGUAGCCGGACUGAGAGUACCUGAAGAAAAAGCAUCGGCUAACUCCGUGCCAGCAGCCGCGGUAAUACGGAGGAUGCGAGCGUUAUCCGGAUUUAUUGGGUUUAAAGUGUGCGUAGGCGGAAUGCCAAGUCAGCGGUAAAAUCGCGGGGCUCAACAUCGCUCCGCAGUUGAAACUGGCGUU
Molecule: ribosomal RNA, 305 nt
Filed under: uncultured bacterium
Lineage: Bacteria
Description: bacterial SSU rRNA
Rfam family: Bacterial small subunit ribosomal RNA
Source: RNAcentral